GGCUUCAUAGCUCAGUCAGUUGAUAGAGCAACGCACUAUAGUAACGCGGAGGUCAUGGGUUCAAAUCCCGUUGAAGCCA
Desmophyllum pertusum is the source of this 79-nucleotide non-coding RNA. The record is from the annotation of a GenBank genome assembly. NCBI's taxonomy places the organism in Eukaryota, Metazoa, Cnidaria, Anthozoa, Scleractinia, Caryophylliidae.